AUUGAACGCUGGCGGCAUGCUUCACACAUGCAAGUCGAACGGCAGCGCGGGCUUCGGCCUGGCGGCGAGUGGCGAACGGGUGAGUAAUACAUCGGAACGUGCCCAGUAGUGGGGGAUAGCUCGGCGAAAGCCGGAUUAAUACCGCAUACGACCUGAGGGUGAAAGCGGGGGAUCUUCGGACCUCGCGCUAUUGGAGCGGCCGAUGGCAGAUUAGCUAGUUGGUGGGGUAAAGGCCUACCAAGGCGACGAUCUGUAGCUGGUCUGAGAGGACGACCAGCCACACUGGGACUGAGACACGGCCCAGACUCCUACGGGAGGCAGCAGUGGGGAAUUUUGGACAAUGGGCGAAAGCCUGAUCCAGCAAUGCCGCGUGUGUGAUGAAGGCCUUCGGGUUGUAAAGCACUUUUGGCGGGAACGAAAAGGACUGUGCCAAUACCACGGUUCGAUGACGGUACCCGCAGAAUAAGCACCGGCUAACUACGUG
RNAcentral lists this ribosomal RNA (484 nucleotides) under uncultured bacterium. Its description in RNAcentral is "partial 16S ribosomal RNA". It matches the Rfam family "Bacterial small subunit ribosomal RNA", at positions 29 to 507 of the family's 1533-position model. The record is from RNAcentral.